RNAcentral lists this ribosomal RNA (544 nucleotides) under Enterococcus faecium. RNAcentral describes it as "bacterial SSU rRNA". It matches the Rfam family "Bacterial small subunit ribosomal RNA", at positions 1 to 516 of the family's 1533-position model. The record is from RNAcentral. Lineage: Bacteria; Bacillati; Bacillota; Bacilli; Lactobacillales; Enterococcaceae.
UUUUAUGAGAGUUUGAUCCUGGCUCAGGACGAACGCUGGCGGCGUGCCUAAUACAUGCAAGUCGAACGCUUCUUUUUCCACCGGAGCUUGCUCCACCGGAAAAAGAGGAGUGGCGAACGGGUGAGUAACACGUGGGUAACCUGCCCAUCAGAAGGGGAUAACACUUGGAAACAGGUGCUAAUACCGUAUAACAAUCGAAACCGCAUGGUUUUGAUUUGAAAGGCGCUUUCGGGUGUCGCUGAUGGAUGGACCCGCGGUGCAUUAGCUAGUUGGUGAGGUAACGGCUCACCAAGGCCACGAUGCAUAGCCGACCUGAGAGGGUGAUCGGCCACAUUGGGACUGAGACACGGCCCAAACUCCUACGGGAGGCAGCAGUAGGGAAUCUUCGGCAAUGGACGAAAGUCUGACCGAGCAACGCCGCGUGAGUGAAGAAGGUUUUCGGAUCGUAAAACUCUGUUGUUAGAGAAGAACAAGGAUGAGAGUAACUGUUCAUCCCUUGACGGUAUCUAACCAGAAAGCCACGGCUAACCACGUGCCAGCAGCC